RNAcentral lists this ribosomal RNA (252 nucleotides) under uncultured bacterium. Its description in RNAcentral is "partial 16S ribosomal RNA". It matches the Rfam family "Bacterial small subunit ribosomal RNA", at positions 525 to 776 of the family's 1533-position model. The record is from RNAcentral.
ACGUAGGAGACAAACGUUAUCCGGAGUUACUGGGCGUAAAGGGCGUGUAGGUGGUUUUGUAAGUCUGGCGUGAAAUUUUUCGGCUUAACCGGGAAAGGUCGUCGGAUACUGCAAGGCUAGAGGACGGUAGAGGCGUGUGGAAUUCCGGGUGUAGUGGUGAAAUGCGUAGAGAUCCGGAGGAACACCAGUGGCGAAGGCGACACGCUGGGCCGUACCUGACACUGAUGCGCGACAGCAUGGGGAGCAAACAGG